This 222-nucleotide ribosomal RNA is filed under the name Cladosporium cladosporioides. RNAcentral describes it as "5.8S ribosomal RNA". The stretch from base 5 to 154 matches the Rfam family "5.8S ribosomal RNA". From Rfam's summary of the family: 5.8S ribosomal RNA (5.8S rRNA) is a component of the large subunit of the eukaryotic ribosome. Lineage: Eukaryota; Fungi; Ascomycota; Dothideomycetes; Cladosporiales; Cladosporiaceae. The record is from RNAcentral.
UUAAAACUUUUAACAACGGAUCUCUUGGUUCUGGCAUCGAUGAAGAACGCAGCGAAAUGCGAUAAGUAAUGUGAAUUGCAGAAUUCAGUGAAUCAUCGAAUCUUUGAACGCAGCGAAAUGCGAUAAGUAAUGUGAAUUGCAGAAUUCAGUGAAUCAUCGAAUCUUUGAACGCACAUUGCGCCCCCUGGUAUUCCGGGGGGCAUGCCUGUUCGAGCGUCAUUU